AUUGAACGCUGGCGGCAGGCCUAACACAUGCAAGUCGAGCGGAUGAAGGGAGCUUGCUCCUGGAUUCAGCGGCGGACGGGUGAGUAAUGCCUAGGAAUCUGCCUGGUAGUGGGGGAUAACGUCCGGAAACGGGCGCUAAUACCGCAUACGUCCUGAGGGUGAAAGUGGGGGAUCUUCGGACCUCACGCUUUUUGAUGAGCCUAGGUCGGAUUAGCUAGUUGGUGGGGUAAAGGCGUACCAAGGCGACGAUCCGUAACUGCUCUGAGAGGAUGAUCGGUCACACUGGAACUGAGACACGGUCCAGACUCCUACGGGAGGCAGCAGUGGGGAAUAUUGGACAAUGGGCGAAAGCCUGAUCCAGCCAUGCCGCGUGUGUGAAGAAGGUCUUCGGAUUGUAAAGCACUUUAAGUUGGGAAGAAGAGAAGUAAGUUAAUACCUUGCUGUUUUGACGUUACCAACAGAAAAAGCACCGGCUAACUUCGUG
Molecule: ribosomal RNA, 484 nt
Filed under: uncultured bacterium
Lineage: Bacteria
Description: partial 16S ribosomal RNA
Rfam family: Bacterial small subunit ribosomal RNA
Source: RNAcentral